GAGUCACACAGCUAAUAGUAAUACGGAAGCGGGGAUUCUUAAACUGCCUGAUUGACUCCAAAAUGGACUUUACUGCUUUCUACUGAUAAAAGAAUUUGAAAUGACACUCAGAGCUAACUCAGUCUUCUAGAACGCUGGAGCUGGGAGUCACUCUAGGGACAGCCCUUGUUCUGUAAACAAGGGAGCAACAGCCCUGACAGAGCCAACUGGCAGGAAGAGCCAGCAAAGUUGCCUGCAAGAGAGAGCACGUGGCCUGAGGGGUGAACCAGGGACAGCCUCUGAAGAGCGAAGGAUUUAUCUGAGCAGCCAAAUGUCCACUGACAGACAGGUCUGUGUGUGCUAGAGAAACUUGUUCCACAGCUCAGAUGAAAAACGUAUUGUGGAAUUCACCCACAAGGGGAAGUGAGUUAAUGACUGGGGCGUUUCAUCUUCUGCCUAGAUGCGUCAUAAAAUCAACUUGUAAAGCCUGGCUCAGAAAAUACAUUUACUCUCCCAGAUGUGGUUCCAUAUAGGGCUAUGAAACAUUUCAAAGAGUGAUCGCUCACAGAGGAGUGCGUUCUUAGGCUUUCUCUGUGCUGGGAGUGGGGCCGGUGGCCUGAGCCUGACAGCCCAUCCAGGCUGUGGUCAAAUUUGCUGACAAGCAGCCCAAAUCUGCCCAGAGCAUCUGCUCACAUCUGGGAUUGUGACUCAUCUGCCUCUGUCUCCCCCAGCACUAUUCACUCACUCCUGCAGGCCUGAGCAUGUAAGCCCCACGGUGCCCAGGGCCCAGCGCCCAGACUUGUCCCUCCACCCAAGCACCCAUCACGGCUUGUCCUUAUCUCCAACACUGCCUGCCCCUCCCAUUUAGACUUGGUCUGCUUUCCCAGCUCCAGGUUCAGGGCAAACCAUGCUUAGACCUUCUUGGACUCAGCCUGAGCUAUCAUAAGAGGUUCCCAGGCUAAAACACAUGCACAGUCUCCUGCACAGUGGUGUCUGUUCUGGCCCUUUAAAUUUAGCAGAUCCACACUCCCACCACGCCCAGCUGGCCCACCAGAGUGAGCCACAGGCAACACAUGUUCUAAACCAACCCUGUUCACCCUGGACCUACUAUU
Molecule: long non-coding RNA, 1091 nt
Filed under: Homo sapiens (human)
Lineage: Eukaryota; Metazoa; Chordata; Mammalia; Primates; Hominidae
Description: HSALNT0361378
Source: RNAcentral